GAGGCAUCUGCAGCUGGACAGAGAAGUGGUGCUUUGUUUCUCUGUGCCUCAGUUUCCCUCUUGGUAAAAUAGGCAUGGUUCCUCCUAUGGAUGUAAGAAGGACCUAGGAACCUUUGCAAGGGCAGAGGAGUCCGCCCCUCUGGUCUGACUGGGAGACAAGGUGUUCCCCAAUCUGAUGGUGGGGACAAGGUGGCCCAACACAGUGGGAAAAAUAAGGAAACUAAGGAGCUCUCACCAAAUCCCAUGAGGGAGACAGGACUGUCCAAAUCCAAUGAAGAAGAUAAGAAGCUCCAGUCCUGUGCAGCAAGAACGAGUGUCCAGUCUAUAUUUCCAGUCUGCCAGGGGAGGUGCUGUUCUAGGCGCUGAGGAUGCAGCCGUGCACAAGACGGAUGAAAUCCCUGCCCUCAGGGGGCCGACAUUUGCGGAGUAAAUAAAGGAAAGGUAAAUAUCUUCCACGUCAGAUUGAAAAAUAAAGUCAGAAAGGGGA
This 487-nucleotide long non-coding RNA is filed under the name Homo sapiens (human). RNAcentral's name for it is "CEACAM16, CEACAM19 and PVR antisense RNA 1, transcript variant 3 (CEACAM16-AS1)". The record is from RNAcentral. Lineage: Eukaryota; Metazoa; Chordata; Mammalia; Primates; Hominidae.